GAUGAACGCUAGCGGCAGGCCUAAUACAUGCAAGUCGAACGAGAUUCUUUACUUCGGUGAAGAUGAGAGUGGCGAAAGGGUGAGUAACGCGUGUGCAAUUUGCCCAUAACUGGAGAAUAGCCCAGAGAAAUCUGGAUUAAUACUCCAUAACAUUAUGAAAAGGCAUCUUUUUAUAAUUAAAACUCCGGUGGUUAUGGAUAAGCAUGCGUCCCAUUAGUUUGUUGGCGAGGUAACGGCUCACCAAGACUACGAUGGGUAGGGGGUUUGAGAGGAUGAUCCCCCACACUGGUACUGAGACACGGACCAGACUCCUACGGGAGGCAGCAGUAGGGAAUAUUGGGCAAUGGACGAAAGCCUGACCCAGCCAUGCCGCGUGCAGGAUGAAGGCCCUCUGGGUUGUAAACUGCUUUUAUAAGAGAAGAAACCCCUCUUCGUGAAGAGGGCUGACGGUACCUUAUGAAUAAGGAUCGGCUAACUCCGUGCCAGCAGCCGCGGUAAUACGGAGGAUCCAAGCGUUGUUCGGAUUUAUUGGGUUUAAAGGGUGCGUAGGCGGAUUUUUAAGUCAGUGGUGAAAGCCUGUAGCUCAACUACAGAAUUGCCAUUGAAACUGAAAAUCUUGAGUAUAGUUGAGGUGGAUGGAAUGUUGCAUGUAGCGGUGAAAUGCUUAGAUAUGCAAUGGAACACCAAUAGCGAAGGCAGUUCACUAAACUAUUACUGACGCUGAGGCACGAAAGCGUGGGUAGCAAACAGGAUUAGAUACCCUGGUAGUCCACGCCCUAAACUUUGCAUACUAGUUAUUGGCGAUAUACUGUCAGUGACCAAGCGAAAGCGUUAAGUAUGCCACCUGGGGAGUACGACCGCAAGGUUGAAACUCAAAGGAAUUGACGGGGGCCCGCACAAGCGGUGGAGCAUGUGGUUUAAUUCGAUGAUACGCGAGGAACCUUACCUGGGCUUGAAAGUUAGUGCCCGAUGCCGAAAGGUGUCUUUUCUUCGGAACACAAAACUAGGUGCUGCAUGGCUGUCGUCAGCUCGUGCCGUGAGGUGUUGGGUUAAGUCCCGCAACGAGCGCAACCCCUAUCCUUAGUUGCCAUCAGGUAAUGCUGGGGACUCUAGCAAGACUGCCGGUGUAAACCGUGAGGAAGGUGGGGAUGACGUCAAAUCAUCACGGCCCUUACGUCCUGGGCCACACACGUGCUACAAUGGAGUGUACAGAGGGUAGCCAACCCGCGAGGGGGAGCCAAUCUCACAAAGCACUUCGUAGUCCGGAUCGGAGUCUGCAACUCGACUCCGUGAAGUCGGAAUCGCUAGUAAUCGCGGAUCAGCAUGUCGCGGUGAAUACGUUCCCGGGUCUUGUACACACCGCCCGUCACACCAUGGGAGUGGUUUUCACCAGAAGCUGGUAGCUUAACCGUAAGGAGGGCGCCUGCCACGGUGAGAGUCAUGACUGGGGUG
Molecule: ribosomal RNA, 1452 nt
Filed under: uncultured bacterium
Lineage: Bacteria
Description: bacterial SSU rRNA
Rfam family: Bacterial small subunit ribosomal RNA
Source: RNAcentral